GAGGAUGCGAGCGUUAUCCGGAUUUAUUGGGUUUAAAGGGUGCGUAGGCGGUCUGUUAAGUCAGCGGUAAAAUUGCGGGGCUCAACCUCGCCGAGCCGUUGAAACUGGUAGACUCGAGUGGGCGAGAAGUACGCGGAAUGCGUGGUGUAGCGGUGAAAUGCAUAGAUAUCACGCAGAACUCCGAUUGCGAAGGCAGCGUACCGGCGCCCAACUGACGCUGAAGCACGAAGGCGUGGGUAUCGAA
Molecule: ribosomal RNA, 244 nt
Filed under: uncultured bacterium
Lineage: Bacteria
Description: partial 16S ribosomal RNA
Rfam family: Bacterial small subunit ribosomal RNA
Source: RNAcentral